GACGAACGCUGGCGGCGUGCCUAAUACAUGCAAGUCGAGCGAGCGGAACUAACAGAUUUACUUCGGUAAUGACGUUAGGAAAGCGAGCGGCGGAUGGGUGAGUAACACGUGGGGAACCUGCCCCAUAGUCUGGGAUACCACUUGGAAACAGGUGCUAAUACCGGAUAAGAAAGCAGAUCGCAUGAUCAGCUUUUAAAAGGCGGCGUAAGCUGUCGCUAUGGGAUGGCCCCGCGGUGCAUUAGCUAGUUGGUAAGGUAAAGGCUUACCAAGGCGAUGAUGCAUAGACGAGUCGAGAGACUGAUCGGCCACAUUGGGACUGAGACACGGCCAAAGCUCCUACGGGAGGCAGCAGUAGGCAAUCUUCCACAAUGGACGCAAGUCUGAUGGAGCAACGCCGCGUGAGUGAAGAAGGUUUUCGGAUCGUAAAGCUCUGUUGUUGGUGAAGAAGGAUAGAGGUAGUAACUGGCCUUUAUUUGACGGUAAUCAACCAGAAAGUCACGGCUAACUACGUG
Molecule: ribosomal RNA, 512 nt
Filed under: uncultured bacterium
Lineage: Bacteria
Description: partial 16S ribosomal RNA
Rfam family: Bacterial small subunit ribosomal RNA
Source: RNAcentral